UUUCCGUAGGUGAACCUGCAGAAGGAUCAUUCAUAAUAAGUGUGCUACUGCACUUUUUAAAAAUACUACUCACCUUGUGUGCAAUGUUUGUUAGACUAUUUCGGGAAUCUGACAUUUAUACCAACCUUUUAUAGUUUGAAAAACUUUGUAUGAAAAAUAUUAUGAAUACUUAAUUAUAAAUACAACUUUCAACAACGGAUCUCUUGGCUCUC
This 212-nucleotide unclassified non-coding RNA is filed under the name plant metagenome. RNAcentral's name for it is "partial contains small subunit ribosomal RNA, internal transcribed spacer 1, and 5.8S ribosomal RNA". The record is from RNAcentral.